AGAGCGAACGCUGGCGGCAGGCCUAACACAUGCAAGUCGAACGGAUCCUUCGGGAUUAGUGGCGGACGGGUGAGUAACACGUGGGAACGUGCCUUUUGGUUCGGAACAACUCAGGGAAACUUGAGCUAAUACCGGAUGUGCCCUUCGGGGGAAAGAUUUAUCGCCAUUAGAGCGGCCCGCGUCUGAUUAGCUAGUUGGUGGGGUAAAGGCCUACCAAGGCUACGAUCAGUAGCUGGUCCGAGAGGAUGAUCAGCCACAUUGGGACUGAGACACGGCCCAAACUCCUACGGGAGGCAGCAGUGGGGAAUCUUGCGCAAUGGGCGAAAACCUGACGCAGCCAUGCCGCGUGAAUGAUGAAGGUCUUAGGAUUGUAAAAUUCUUUCGACCGGGACGAUAAUGACGGUACCCGGAGAAGAACGCCCGGCUAACUUCGUGCCAGCAGCCGC
This 446-nucleotide ribosomal RNA is filed under the name uncultured bacterium. Its description in RNAcentral is "SSU rRNA". It matches the Rfam family "Bacterial small subunit ribosomal RNA", at positions 26 to 518 of the family's 1533-position model. The record is from RNAcentral.